UACGUAGGUGGCAAGCGUUGUCCGGAAUUAUUGGGCGUAAAGAGCUCGUAGGCGGUUUGUCGCGUCUGCCGUGAAAGUCCGGGGCUCAACUCCGGAUCUGCGGUGGGUACGGGCAGACUAGAGUGAUGUAGGGGAGACUGGAAUUCCUGGUGUAGCGGUGAAAUGCGCAGAUAUCAGGAGGAACACCGAUGGCGAAGGCAGGUCUCUGGGCAUUAACUGACGCUGAGGAGCGAAAGCAUGGGGGAGCGAACAGG
Molecule: ribosomal RNA, 254 nt
Filed under: uncultured bacterium
Lineage: Bacteria
Description: partial 16S ribosomal RNA
Rfam family: Bacterial small subunit ribosomal RNA
Source: RNAcentral